AUACGUAUGGGGCAAGCGUUGUUCGGAUUCAUUGGGCGUAAAGGGCACGCAGGCGGAUUGUUAAGUUGGAUGUAUAAUCUUCGGGCUCAACCCGGAGUCUGCAUCCAAAACUGGCAAUCUAGAGUACCAGAGGGGAAAGCGGAAUUCUCGGUGUAGCGGUGGAAUGCGUAGAUAUCGAGAGGAACACCAGUGGCGAAGGCGGCUUUCUGGCUGGUUACUGACGCUCAGUGCGAAAGCGUGGGGAGCAAACAGGAUUAGAUACCCUAGUAGUCC
Molecule: ribosomal RNA, 273 nt
Filed under: uncultured bacterium
Lineage: Bacteria
Description: partial 16S ribosomal RNA
Rfam family: Bacterial small subunit ribosomal RNA
Source: RNAcentral